CAGGGAUUGCCCUAGUAACGGCGAGUGAAGCGGCAACAGCUCAAAUUUGAAAUCUGGCUCUUUCAGAGUCCGAGUUGUAAUUUGCAGAGGGCGCUUUGGUGUUGGCAGCGGUCCAAGUUCCUUGGAACAGGACGUCACAGAGGGUGAGAAUCCCGUACGUGGUCGCUAGCCUUCGCCGUGUAAAGCCCCUUCGACGAGUCGAGUUGUUUGGGAAUGCAGCUCUAAAUGGGAGGUAAAUUUCUUCUAAAGCUAAAUACUGGCCAGAGACCGAUAGCGCACAAGUAGAGUGAUCGAAAGAUGAAAAGCACUUUGGAAAGAGAGUCAAAUAGCACGUGAAAUUGUUGAAAGGGAAGCGCUUGCAGCCAGACUUGCCUGUAGUUGCUUAUCCGGACUUUUGUCCGGUGCACUCUUCUGCGGGCAGGCCAGCAUCAGUUUGGGCGGUUGGAUAAAGGUCUCUGUCAUGUACCUCUCUUCGGGGAGAACUUAUAGGGGAGACGACAUGCAACCAGCCUGGACUGAGGUCCGCGCAUCUGCUAGGAUGCUGGCGUAAUGGCUGUAAGCGGCCCGUCUUGAAACACGGACCAAGGAGUCUAACAUCUAUGCGAGUGUUUGGGUGUCAAGCCCAGACGCGUAAUGAAAGUGAACGGAGGUGGGAACCCUUUGGGUGCACCAUCGACCGAUCCUGAUGUCUUCGGAUGGAUUUGAGUAAGAGCAUGGCUGUUGGGACCCGAAAGAUGGUGAACUAUGCUUGAAUAGGGUGAAGCCAGAGGAAACUCUGGUGGAGGCUCGCAGCGGUUCUGACGUGCAAAUCGAUCGUCAAAUUUGGGCAUAGGGGCGAAAGACUAAU
Molecule: ribosomal RNA, 847 nt
Filed under: Paraphoma radicina
Lineage: Eukaryota; Fungi; Ascomycota; Dothideomycetes; Pleosporales; Phaeosphaeriaceae
Description: partial large subunit ribosomal RNA
Rfam family: Eukaryotic large subunit ribosomal RNA
Source: RNAcentral